CAUGCAAGUCGAGCGAACAGAUAAGGAGCUUGCUCCUUUGACGUUAGCGGCGGACGGGUGAGUAACACGUGGGUAACYUACCUAUAAGACUGGAAUAACUCCGGGAAACCGGGGCUAAUGCCGGAUAACAUGUUGAACCGCAUGGUUCUACAGUGAAAGGCGGCUUUGCUGUCACUUAUAGAUGGACCCGCGCCGUAUUAGCUAGUUGGUGAGGUAACGGCUCACCAAGGCAACGAUACGUAGCCGACCUGAGAGGGUGAUCGGCCACACUGGAACUGAGACACGGUCCAGACUCCUACGGGAGGCAGCAGUAGGGAAUCUUCCGCAAUGGGCGAAAGCCUGACGGAGCAACGCCGCGUGAGUGAUGAAGGUCUUCGGAUCGUAAAACUCUGUUAUUAGGGAAGAACAAAUGCGUAAGUAACUGUGCGCGUCUUGACGGUACCUAAUCAGAAAGCCACGGCUAA
This 464-nucleotide ribosomal RNA is filed under the name Staphylococcus auricularis. Its description in RNAcentral is "bacterial SSU rRNA". It matches the Rfam family "Bacterial small subunit ribosomal RNA", at positions 54 to 500 of the family's 1533-position model. Lineage: Bacteria; Bacillati; Bacillota; Bacilli; Caryophanales; Staphylococcaceae. The record is from RNAcentral.